This 253-nucleotide ribosomal RNA is filed under the name uncultured bacterium. RNAcentral describes it as "partial 16S ribosomal RNA". It matches the Rfam family "Bacterial small subunit ribosomal RNA", at positions 524 to 776 of the family's 1533-position model. The record is from RNAcentral.
UACAGAGGGUGCGAGCGUUAAUCGGAAUUACUGGGCGUAAAGCGUGCGUAGACGGCUAUCUAAGUCGGGUGUGAAAGCCCCGGGCUCAACCUAGGAAUUGCAUUCGAGACUGAAUAGCUAGGGUACGGUAGAGGGAAGCGGAAUUUCCGGUGUAGCGGUGAAAUGCGUAGAUAUCGGAAGGAACAUCAGUGGCGAAAGCGGCUUCCUGGACCAGUACCGACGUUCAGGCACGAAAGCGUGGGGAGCAAACAGG